Molecule: long non-coding RNA, 1622 nt
Filed under: Sus scrofa (pig)
Lineage: Eukaryota; Metazoa; Chordata; Mammalia; Artiodactyla; Suidae
Description: lncRNA (ENSSSCG00030013191.1)
Source: RNAcentral
CUCUUUAGGGCCGCGCCCAUGGCAUAUGGAGGUUCCCAGGCUGGGGGUUGAAUCGGAGCUGUAGCUGCCAGCCUACGCCAGGGCCACAGCAACGUGGGAUCUGAGCAACGUCUGCGACCUACAACCACAGCUCACGGCAACGCCGGAUCCUUAACCCAAUGAACAAGGCCAGGGAUCGAACUGUAUCCUCAUGUAUCCUCAUGGAUGCCAGUCAGGUUCGUUAACCGCUGAGCCACGAUGGGAACUCCUGCGCUUCUAAUACAAAGCUCUCUUCUGUGUCAAAGGUCUGGGAAUCCUGUGACAACAGCAAACAAAUUCAAUCACCUAAUAAUGUGGAUUCCGCAGGGGCAGCGGGCUCCCUUUCUGUCCUAUGCUGGAUGACAUGAUAGAAUUUUGCAAAAAGUGGGCCUGAGUCUGACAGCUUCCUCUCUCACCUUGUUCAUGCUGGCUUGUACUGUUGCUGGAGAAAAGCCUGGGAGGUGAGGAAUCAGUCUAGGGCCACAGAGCUCAGGUCUGCCAGCCACCAGCUCUGCAACUCUAAUCAUGUUACCCCCUGGCUUAGCUUCACGUAAAUGCACAUAGGCUCCUUGUGGGAAUGGAAAGAGCUUAACACGGUACCUGGUACAAAGUAAAUGCUCGGUGACAUUAGUUGCAGCUCUCAAAAUGGUCACAUGACUGUGUUUGAGGAUACUGAGCUGGUGAUGCACCAGCCUGGUAGGUGGUGGUAGGGGAAUAAGGAGGACGCAGAGAACUGUGGGAGGAGAUAGAGGCUUGGGCUUUGCUCCAACGGGCAGAACCCUCUAUUACCGGGAGUGCUGCAUUACACAACUGUACCUGAUACGCUUCAACUGGCUCCAACUUCUAAGAGAAGAUACAAAACCAGGCAAAACAAACCUAUUCAUAGAAGUCCGGCUAGUGUCUUCCUCGUGGGAAGAUAGUGAGUGGAAGAGGGCACAGAGGAGGAUGCUGGGGAAAGGAGGUCCCACUGUGUCUUGACCUGGUGCAUGAAUUUCUCAAAAUGCAUCCAAUUCACUCCUCAAGGUCCUCUCCUCUGGGUCUCAAUAUAAGAAUCAGCCCUGGAGUUCCCAUUGUGGCACAGCGGAAACAAAUCUGACUAGCAUCCAUGAGGACACAGGUUUGAUCCCUGGCCCUGCUUAGUGGGUGAAGGAUCCAGCAUUGCCUCCAGAAGGAGAGGCCAGCAGGGGAAACCACCGCCUCACGUGCACCAUCGUUUUGCCAGCAGAUGGCACUGGUUUAGAGAGGAUGCAGCAGCUCCGGCUUUUCCCACUCUGGGCAGUUUUCUGCACAACUGGGGAGGCAAAGCUGGGAAGAAAGUUCUCAGGAACCCUGUGGGGCGGCCUUCUUGAAGGCCAACAGCUGUUCAUCCAGCAGAAGGAAGAUGAUCCAGCGCCAGGGGCCCAAAGGCGCCUGUCCCCGAAGGCCAGGGCCUGAGGUGUUCCAGCUGCCCCCAGUUAUAGUCAAAUCUGGACUAGAAACAAAAGGGCGGCUGGCCUUGCAGAACAGAGGGCGGAGGGCAGAGGGCGGAGAAGGCAGGUGAUGUGGACAGAGCAACAUGAGCGCAUUCAUUCAUGAGGAGGGGGAUAUCUGCAGAAAGUGAAUGC